AACGAACGCUGGCGGCAGGCUUAACACAUGCAAGUCGAACGCUCGUGGCAACACGGGAGUGGCGGACGGGUGAGUAACGCGUAGGAACGUAUCCUGAGGUGGGGGAUAACCCUGGGAAACUAGGGCUAAUACCGCAUGAUGGCGAGAGCCCAAAGAUUUAUCGCCUUGGGAGCGGCCUGCGUCUGAUUAGCUUGUUGGUGGGGUAACGGCCUACCAAGGCGAUGAUCAGUAGCUGGUCUGAGAGGACGAUCAGCCACACUGGCACUGCGACACGGGCCAGACUCCUACGGGAGGCAGCAGUAAGGAAUAUUGCGCAAUGGGCGAAAGCCUGACGCAGCGACGCCGCGUGGGGGGAUGAAGGUCUUCGGAUUGUAAACCCCUUUCGGGAGGGAAGAUGGAGCGAGCAAUCGUUCGGACGGUACCUCCAGAAGCAGCCACGGCCAACUU
RNAcentral lists this ribosomal RNA (447 nucleotides) under uncultured bacterium. RNAcentral describes it as "bacterial SSU rRNA". It matches the Rfam family "Bacterial small subunit ribosomal RNA", at positions 29 to 503 of the family's 1533-position model. The record is from RNAcentral.